RNAcentral lists this ribosomal RNA (460 nucleotides) under uncultured bacterium. RNAcentral describes it as "partial 16S ribosomal RNA". It matches the Rfam family "Bacterial small subunit ribosomal RNA", at positions 338 to 795 of the family's 1533-position model. The record is from RNAcentral.
CCUACGGGAGGCAGCAGUGAGGAAUAUUGGUCAAUGGACGAGAGUCUGAACCAGCCAAGUAGCGUGAAGGAUGACUGCCCUAUGGGUUGUAAACUUCUUUUAUAUGGGAAUAAAAUGUUCCACGUGUGGGAUUUUGUAUGUACCAUAUGAAUAAGGAUCGGCUAACUCCGUGCCAGCAGCCGCGGUAAUACGGAGGAUCCGAGCGUUAUCCGGAUUUAUUGGGUUUAAAGGGAGCGUAGGUGGAUUGUUAAGUCAGUUGUGAAAGUUUGCGGCUCAACCGGAAAAUUGCAGUUGAAACUGGCGGUCUUGAGUACAGUAGAGGUGGGCGGAAUGCGUGGUGUAGCGGUGAAAUGCUUAGAUAUCACGCAGAACUCCGAUUGCGAAGGCAGCUCACUAAACUGCAACUGACACUGAGGCUCGAAAGUGUGGGUAUCAAACAGGAUUAGAUACCCCUGUAGUC